Long non-coding RNA from Notothenia coriiceps (black rockcod), 460 nucleotides. RefSeq lists it as uncharacterized. NCBI's taxonomy places the organism in Eukaryota, Metazoa, Chordata, Actinopteri, Perciformes, Nototheniidae. The transcript is spliced from 3 exons. The record is from RefSeq and is a predicted model, not a curated record.
UCUCGAACUCCCUGGUACCAGAGUUCGUAUCCAUGGAUACCAGGUGAGCUACAAGCUGGUGAAGAAUCAGCAGGCGCAGGACAGAUUCACUCAAAAUGUCACCGGGUCAAUGGCGCUCCUGGUGGUGAAGGAGGGGAACUACAGAGUCACAGUUUCAGCUUUCAACACGGCUGGCUAUGGACCUGCUGCUCAUCUUAGCACUGACACACAAAGACAAAAUGCUCUCCCGCCAGUCAGCAGCUUGUGGGUUUCCAGUUCUCUCCCGGUUAUGAAAGGCCUUCUUGUCCAAUGGGAGAACCCCAAGGUCCUGCCCUCCGUCCCGCCAGUCAGUCAUCUUGCCAUUCACUGGCGUUCCGAGACUCGUCCAUCUACUAGCCGUGGGACCACAGUGGGCAACUUCACCACCUCCACUGUCAUACAAGGUGUAAUCAAAUCCUGGUCUUCCUCUUGAUUAUGUGUU